Molecule: long non-coding RNA, 664 nt
Filed under: Polistes dominula (European paper wasp)
Lineage: Eukaryota; Metazoa; Arthropoda; Insecta; Hymenoptera; Vespidae
Description: uncharacterized LOC107067951
Source: RNAcentral
ACGAAAAAAUUAUUAUAAAUUCAAGCGGUCCCCCAAAAUUUUCAGCCAAUGGCGCAUCCCUCCUACAGGAUCCCUAAUCUCUAGUAGAGCACUAUAGAGAUGAGUACUCUCAUCCGCCAUUUUUGCUCCUACAGAGAAGACACCAGUAUGAUUUUGUAUAGUAAACACGUUUGUUGACAUCAAGCGAGAUUGAAUUAUUUAUUGAUAAUUGUAUUAAAUUUCAUGAAAAAUAUUAUUUGAUAGUUGAUGUUAGUACUUAACCUUUCUAUUUUUAACAUUAAAAGAUAGAUUAAACUACAAAAUACUAUUCAGUGAUUGAUUUAUAAACAUGGAUAACUUCUCUAUUUGGAACGUUUCAGUAAUAAUUUGAUGAAAAGUAUGCCAGUAAAAAAGGAAGACAACAACAAAAGAUCAGUCGCUGCUAAAAGCAAAAUGGAGUAUGAAAGUGGAAUAAAAUCUGUUGACGAAGAGACCAUUAUGUCUUUGCUUGCUGAAAAUCUAUCUAUAUGAAAAUCUAUGAGGGCUCAAAUAGAGAGAAUAAAUGCAAUUUUAAAAGAAUAUAAAUCGUAUUUAGCAGCUUCAGAAUAUUUAAGCAAAUACAAUGUUUCAUAAUCAUGAACUUAAUUAAACAUGGUAAAAAUUGUAUAUAUUUAAAAAAAAAAAA